GGCCUGGUGUUGUGUAUAAUAAAUAUUUCGUGCGUGGGUGUGGGCGGAUGAUUGGUUUUGGUGGGUGAUGGGGUGUGGCAUAUAAUAUAAUAAUAAGAUAUGUUAUCAUAUUUCUUCCCACUUUGUAAAAUAAAAUUAAAAAACACGGAAGGUCUUCCCUGCUGUGCAUGCUCUGCCGUUGUCGACUACACAGCUACUACUGUCAUUAUUGUUAUCAUCAUUAUUAUUUAAUUCUACUACUCGUGCCACGAUAGCUACAAUAAACACCCCCCUCCCCCCCCGCUGCUUUUCUUAUCUUUUCCUGCCGUCUGUCACCCUUAUUACUAUUAAUAAUAAUAUUUUUUAAUAUUAUCAUCGUCACAUUUAUUAUUAUUAUUAUUAUUAUUAUUAUUUAUUAAUUUUUUUAUUGUAUCUCAUCCCUGUUAUAUAAUUUUACGAUACAUACAAGCGUGUGUACAGUACAUGUUUUCAUGUCAACAUAAUAUUUUACAUACCUUCCGGNNNNNNNNNNNNNNNNNNNNNNNNNNNNNNNNNNNNNNNNNNNNNNNNNNAAGCAGCGGCGGAGGCAGAGGCAGCAGCGACAGCGGUGGCGACAGCGGCAGCGGCUACAGAGGUGGUGGUGACAGUGGCUUUGUGGCAACGGUGGCUGCAGCGACAGCAGCUGCGGCAGGAGAGGCAGCAGCGGCGGUGGCGACGGUGGCGACGGUGGCGGCGGCGGUGGAAGCAGCGGUGGUGGCGACAGCGACAGCGGCAGCGGCAGCGGCAGCGGCGGUGGUGACGGCGGCGGCGACAGCGGCGGCGGUGGCGGCGGUGACGACGGUGGCGACAGUGGCGGCGGCGACAAAGCAGCGGCGGCAGCAGAGGCAGCAGCGACAGCGGUGCCGACAGCGGCAGCAGCUACAGAGGUGGUGGUGUCAGUGGCGGCGGCGACAAAGCAGCGGCGGAGGCAGAGGCAGCAGCGACAGUGGUGGCGACGGUGGCGACAGCGGCAGCGGCUACAGAGGUGGUGGUGAUAGUGGCUUUGCGGCGACGGUGGCUGCAGCGACAGCAGCUGCGGCAGGAGAGGCAGCAGCGGCGGUGGUGACGGUGGCGACGGUGGCGGCGGCGGUGGAAGCAGCGGGUAGUGGCGACAGCGACAGCGGCAGCGGUGGUGGUGACGGCGGCGGCGACAGCGGCGGCGGUGGCGGCGGUGGCGGCGGUAACGACGGUGGCGACAGUGGCGGCGGCGACAAAGCAGCGGCGGCGGCAGAGGCAGCAGCGACAGCGGUGCCGACAGAGGGGUGGCAACAGCGGCAGCAGCUACAGAGGUGGUGGUGUCAGUGGCAGCGGCGACAGUGGCUGCAGCGACAGCAGCUGCGGCAGCAGCGGCGGCGGCGGUGGCGGCGGUGGCGACGGUGGCGGCGGCGGUGGAAGCAGCGGUGGCGACAGCGGUGGUGACAGUGGCGGUGGCAGCGGUGGCGGCAGCGACAGCGGCCGCGGCGGCGGCAACAGCACGACAGUGGCGACACAUAGCGACACGGCAGCCCCUUUUCUCCUACUAUAUUAUACCCAUAUGCAUGCCUGAUCCCUCUCCCUCUCUCCUCCUCCUCUCACCUCGAGGGCGCGCUUCACCUCCAGCUCUGCCGCCUCUCCCAUGGUGCUCAACUCGAUGGUCUCCAGCUGCUUGCAGGACAGCAUGGAAGGACCACCUCGCCCCUCCCGGGCUGCCCACAUUACUCGCUCCAGCUCCCGUCUCUCAUCCAAGGCCCUUUCCACUUGGGCCUGCAGGUACUCCAGGGACUCCGGAAGAGGUUCCGGAGUCAACAUUGUCGACGCUGCUUCGUUCCUGUACGAGACCACUUUGAAGACGAAAGCCGUCAUCACCCUGCCGCCUGGAUACAUGUCCAUUUAUUACCACAAACAUACUUAUCAGCAGACAUGCAUACGUAUAUAACACAAAAAGGGUGGCAAAUAAUAAACAUGCAUAUCUCCAAAACCCCGAAGCAAAACAUACACACACAAAAAAAAACACACAUACACACAAACACACUAAAAAAGUGAAAAGAAAGAGAUCUACUUACUGUCGGACAUGUGGCAAUCCGUCACUGUCGCCACGAGCUUAAGGCCCCAGAAGCCCAGCAGCUCCAUCUCGGCCAAGGGAUUGGGCAUGCUGUACUGCACCACGGUUAUGGCCUGGUGUUGUGUAUAAUAAAUAUUUCGUGCGUGGGUGUGGGCGGAUGAUUGGUUUUGGUGGGUGAUGGGGUGUGGCAUAUAAUAUAAUAAUAAGAUAUGUUAUCAUAUUUCUUCCCACUUUGUAAAAUAAAAUUAAAAAACACGGAAGGUCUUCCCUGCUGUGCAUGCUCUGCCGUUGUCGACUACACAGCUACUACUGUCAUUAUUGUUAUCAUCAUUAUUAUUUAAUUCUACUACUCGUGCCACGAUAGCUACAAUAAACACCCCCCUCCCCCCCCGCUGCUUUUCUUAUCUUUUCCUGCCGUCUGUCACCCUUAUUACUAUUAAUAAUAAUAUUUUUUAAUAUUAUCAUCGUCACAUUUAUUAUUAUUAUUAUUAUUAUUAUUUAUUAAUUUUUUUAUUGUAUCUCAUCCCUGUUAUAUAAUUUUACGAUACAUACAAGCGUGUGUACAGUACAUGUUUUCAUGUCAACAUAAUNNNNNNNNNNNNNNNNNNNNNNNNNNNNNNNNNNNNNNNNNNNNNNNNNNUCACCUCGAGGGCGCGCUUCACCUCCAGCUCUGCCGCCUCUCCCAUGGUGCUCAACUCGAUGGUCUCCAGCUGCUUGCAGGACAGCAUGGAAGGACCACCUCGCCCCUCCCGGGCUGCCCACAUUACUCGCUCCAGCUCCCGUCUCUCAUCCAAGGCCCUUUCCACUUGGGCCUGCAG
Molecule: long non-coding RNA, 2877 nt
Filed under: Volvox carteri
Lineage: Eukaryota; Viridiplantae; Chlorophyta; Chlorophyceae; Chlamydomonadales; Volvocaceae
Description: long non-coding RNA (VCAR_LNC000296)
Source: RNAcentral